Molecule: long non-coding RNA, 773 nt
Organism: Diospyros lotus (date-plum)
Lineage: Eukaryota; Viridiplantae; Streptophyta; Magnoliopsida; Ericales; Ebenaceae
Exons: 3
Source: RefSeq, a predicted model, not a curated record
AAAGUGUGGCCUUAAAUUCAUGCUGAUUGAACUAUUAGAUUUUUAUCCUGGAAAUUCCAAAGGUCAUAUUCAUUCCCACUAUAUUUUAGCAAUAUUAUCUGUUCUAUUUGAACCACUUAUGUAAGUUCUCCUCAGAAAACAUGGGUUUCCAUCAGAACAUGAUAUUCUGUUUUCAUGUCAUUGACCUUUUUGAAAUUCUUUUCUUGAUUGUUAUAUAAUUUGUCUAUUGUAGGUCAACGUUCCAAAGACCAAGAAGACCUACUGCAAAUCCAAGUAGUGUCGGAAGGGGAAGGAUAGUUUGGCUGCCCAAGGAAAACGCCGUUAUGAUCGAAAACAGUCCGGAUAUGGUGGGCAGACAAAUCCAGUUUUCCACAAAAAGACCACCAAGAAGAUUGUGCUAAGGCUGCAGUGCCAAGGGUGCAAACAUGUGUCACAGCACCCAAUCAAGAGGUGCAAACAUUUUGAGAUUGGUGGAGAUAAGAAGGGAGAGGGCACUUCUCUAUUAAUUUUGAGAUGCGGCAUCUCUGUUGAUCAUUCAAUUGGAAUGGAUGUCUCUGUUUUAGUCAAUUGUUUUAUAGAUUGAAGUUGUUUUGGCAAGAUGAUAGAAUGUUCUCUCACCUGGCAAUUUAUAAUUCCAAGUUUUUGCUUUUGGUUCGAAUUCUCGCUUAAGGAUCGGUUAAGUAGGAUAUCUAGCCUAAUAUUUUGCCAUAUUAUUUCUUGUGCUUGGAUUUUAUUGGCACCUAACUUUGGUUGUUUAAUUGUAGGAUGGAAUA